Cercophora sp. LCS_1 is the source of this 93-nucleotide non-coding RNA. The record is from the annotation of a GenBank genome assembly. NCBI's taxonomy places the organism in Eukaryota, Fungi, Ascomycota, Sordariomycetes, Sordariales, Lasiosphaeriaceae.
GGCAGGAUGGCCGAGUGGUCUAAGGCGCUAGAUUUAGGUCUCAUAUGAAACCUCUAGUCCGAAAGGGCGCGAGUUCGAAUCUCGCUUCUGUCA